RNAcentral lists this ribosomal RNA (392 nucleotides) under uncultured bacterium. RNAcentral's name for it is "partial 16S ribosomal RNA". It matches the Rfam family "Bacterial small subunit ribosomal RNA", at positions 523 to 918 of the family's 1533-position model. The record is from RNAcentral.
AUACGGAGGAUCCGAGCGUUAUCCGGAUUUAUUGGGUUUAAAGGGUGCGCAGGCGGCCAUUUAAGUCAGCGGUUAAAUCGUGGGGCUCAACCCCAUUCUGCCGUUGAUACUGGGUGGCUUGAUUGCGGUCGAGGUUGGCGGAAUUCGUUGUGUAGCGGUGAAAUGCAUAGAUAUGACGAAGAACACCGAUUGCGUAGGCAGCUGGCCAGACCGCAAAUGACGCUCAUGCACGAAAGUGCUGGGAUCGAACAGGAUUAGAUACCCUGGUAGUCCGCACAGUAAACGAUGAAUACUUGUUUUCGGCGAUAUAAUGUCGGAGGCAAAGCGAAAGCGAUAAGUAUUCCACCUGGGGAGUACGCCGGCAACGGUGAAACUUAAAGGAAUUGACGGGG